This 375-nucleotide ribosomal RNA is filed under the name Strophurus ciliaris aberrans. Its description in RNAcentral is "partial 16S ribosomal RNA". It matches the Rfam family "Bacterial large subunit ribosomal RNA", at positions 1967 to 2564 of the family's 2925-position model. The record is from RNAcentral. Lineage: Eukaryota; Metazoa; Chordata; Lepidosauria; Squamata; Diplodactylidae.
AUUUGUCCCCUAAAUAGGGACUUGUAUGAACGGCUAAAUGAGGUUCUAACUGUCUCAUUAGACUAAUCAAUGAAACUGAUCUUUCAGUACAAAAGCUGAAAUAAACUCAUAAGACGAGAAGACCCUGUGGAGCUUAAAACAAAUACUAUAAUCUUUUUAGUUGGGGCGACUUUGGAACAAAACAAAACUUCCAUGUCAGGCCCCUAUCAAGGCCAACACGCCAAAACAACUACUUAUUGAUCCAGCAACCACGAAGCUGACCAACGAACCAAGUUACCCCAGGGAUAACAGCGCCAUCCCCUUCAAGAGUCCCUAUCGACAAGGGGGUUUACGACCUCGAUGUUGGAUCAGGACACCCAGGUGGUGCAACCGCUA